UGCAAAAGAUUAGGGAUACCUGGUAUUUACAGACGGUGACAUAGAUUAAUAACCCACAUGCCCUUGGUUGGUAAGGAAUGUCCAUAAUCUUCCCUGGUGAAAUGACAAGUGUCGACUUCUGAUUUUACUAAUCUUCCUUCUUCGGGUGAUUUGAACAUGUCUCGUCAAGAGCUCGUGCGAAAAGCUUAUGCUUCAAAGGGUAAAGUUGCAGAGAAAGGGGUGUCUACCCCUGCUGCUUCAACUCCUAAUGCCCCUACUCCCAAAACUAAGCCCAUCUAUUCAAAAGGGGAUUCCUCUCAUCCCCUUGCAGGGUGCCCUGCAUCUCAUUCGGACAAAGGGAAUGGUCCAAAGCGAGCUAAGCCAGAUUCCCCAAAGUCCCAGCCACCGCCUCAUUCUAAUUGAGGGAAGGAUUCUGCUGAUCCUUCGUCUGAGGAUUCCACAUCACGGGGUUCCAAGGUCUUUGUGCCUAAUUGGAAAGUAACUACAGGGGAUUCUAUCUCUGAUCCUUGGGUUUCUUUUCAAGUGGCUACCCGUAGCAUCCUUCCUACGGAUGCUGGUCUACAUUUGGGCAAGGAUUCAAAGACCCUGGACUUGUAUUCUGUACAGAUAGCCUUCAAGGUAAGUGAUCUUGAUUUUCAAUAUUUUGAGGGUUUUCCUUUCUUGCCUAGUGUAAUUGCAUUUGUUUUAUAAUCUUUCAGGCAACGCAACAUUCCUACUUUGCGAUCCAUCGUCUGUACUUUGGUAGCAAAAAACGAGGCGAAGAACAAGACAAUCGCCGACUUGAAUGCUAAUUUGUUGGAGCUUACUCUUUCUCUUGGAAAGGCUCAACGUCUUACUAAUGAAGCUCAACUGGAGGCUAUUAAGGAAAAUAAUGCACGUCGCCAGCUCAAGGAGAGUUUUGGGAACUCUUGUGGGAGCGAAGGAGAUGCGGGCCAAAUUGGAGGCUUGUGUGGAUAAUGUAUGCUUUGACUACAUCAUGAAUGGGUUUGAGAGUGGUUGUUCAAGAGAAGUAUCCUUAGCUCAAACCUCAUUGGGAUUGAAACGCCAAGACCAGUAGUCCCUUGUUCAGGUGUCGUGGAGCCUUACAUUCCCACUUCAGUCUCCAAUGUUCCCGGAGAUAAGGCCGACUCUCAAGGUCAGGACUUUGAGUGAAGUGAGGAUCCUGGAAUAUUAGGAGUUGUGAAGGCUCUGGGAUGCCACAACAUUUUUGCGGUAGGGCCUCCUUUCGAGUUGUUUGUCUUGGAUGUUUAUGUUUACUUUUGUGUUUUGUUAUGGCUUGAAUGAUUUUUGUUUAUCUUCUAUUAAG
Molecule: long non-coding RNA, 1306 nt
Filed under: Panax ginseng (ginseng)
Lineage: Eukaryota; Viridiplantae; Streptophyta; Magnoliopsida; Apiales; Araliaceae
Description: long non-coding RNA (PGIN_LNC017528)
Source: RNAcentral